RNAcentral lists this ribosomal RNA (504 nucleotides) under uncultured bacterium. RNAcentral describes it as "partial 16S ribosomal RNA". It matches the Rfam family "Bacterial small subunit ribosomal RNA", at positions 28 to 523 of the family's 1533-position model. The record is from RNAcentral.
GAUGAACGCUAGCGGCAGGCUUAAUACAUGCAAGUCGUGGGGCAGCAGGACUGUAGCAAUACAGUUGCUGGCGACCGGCAAACGGGUGCGGAACACGUACGCAAUCUACCCAGAACUGGUGAAUAGCCCUCCGAAAGGAGGAUUAAUACACCGUAAUAUUAUAAAGUGGCAUCACUUAAUAAUUAAGGCUCCGGCGGUUUUGGAUGAGCGUGCGGCCCAUUAGGUAGUUGGUUGAGGUAAUGGCUCACCAAGCCUGCGAUGGGUAACUGGUGUGAGAGCACGACCAGCCACACGGGCACUGAGACACGGGCCCGACUCCUACGGGAGGCAGCAGUAAGGAAUAUUGGUCAAUGGACGCAAGUCUGAACCAGCCAUGCCGCGUGGAGGAUGAAGGCCCUCUGGGUUGUAAACUUCUUUUAUGGGGGACGAAAUCACUUAUUCUUAAGUGUCUGACGGUACCCCAGGAAUAAGCACCGGCUAACUACGUGCCAGCCGCCGCGGUAA